This 468-nucleotide ribosomal RNA is filed under the name uncultured bacterium. RNAcentral describes it as "partial 16S ribosomal RNA". It matches the Rfam family "Bacterial small subunit ribosomal RNA", at positions 28 to 507 of the family's 1533-position model. The record is from RNAcentral.
GACGAACGCUGGCGGCGUGCUUAACACAUGCAAGUCGAACGGACAGGCCCUGCUUUUGUGGGGUGCUCGUGUGGCGAACGGGUGAGUAACACGUGUGUAACCUCCCCCUGUCUUUGGGAUAUCUUCAGGAAACUGGGGCUAUUACCGCAUAGGAGCUCCUGCUGCAUGUUGGGGGUUGGAAAGUUUCGGCGGUUGGGGCUGGACUCGCGGCUUACCCGCUUGAUGGUGGGGUAGUGGCUUACCAAGGCUUUGACGGGUAGCCGGCCUGAGAGGGUGACCGGCGACAUUGGGACUGAGAUACGGACCAGACUCGUACGGGCGGCAGCAGUGGGGAGUAUUGCACAAUGGGCGGAAGCCUGAUGCAGCAGCGCCGCGUGCGGGAUGACGGCCUACGGGUUGUAAACCGCUUUCGCAGGUGACGAAGCGUGAGUGACGGUAAUGGGUAAAGAAGCACCGGCUAACUACGUG